UAAGUACUUCCUCCGUUCGAAAAAACUUGUCCCUCAGACGGAUGUAUCUAGCACCAAGUGCUAGAUACAUCCAUUUGAGGGACAAACUUGGGACAAGUUUUUUCAGACGGUGGGAGUAACUA
This is a non-coding RNA of Triticum aestivum (bread wheat), 122 nucleotides long. Lineage: Eukaryota; Viridiplantae; Streptophyta; Magnoliopsida; Poales; Poaceae. The record is from Rfam.